RNAcentral lists this ribosomal RNA (160 nucleotides) under uncultured bacterium. Its description in RNAcentral is "partial 16S ribosomal RNA". The record is from RNAcentral.
CACGUAGUUAGCCGGUGCUUAUUCUUACGGUACCGUCAUGACCCGGGGAUAUUAGCCCCAGGCUUUUCGUUCCGUACAAAAGCAGUUUACAACCCGAGGGCCUUCAUCCUGCACGCGGCAUUGCUGGAUCAGGCUUUCGCCCAUUGUCCAAAAUUCCCCA